UAUUAGUAAACCUGGUUUACGGAUGAUGAAACAGACUCAGAAAGGUGGAUUGGCGUGACCAGCAUCCCACAGCUGAGAAAUAAUAAAGCACAGACUGACUCCCACUGCUGAUGCUGGACCUGGAGAAGGAGGGAUGUGGCCACCUGUCCAGAUGAGAUUUCAUGGUCAUGACUGAAUGAGCUGAGCUCUGAACCCAUCUCCAGGGAGUGUCGGGCAUGACUGAUAAAUACUAAGCACAGCCUUCUUGGGAUUUCCAGUAGGAACAGACUUCAGACUUCCGGGGACAUGAAAAGGAUGGUGACAAGAAGUUUCCAACACUGCUCCGUUUCAAACACUAUUGCCCC
Molossus molossus (Pallas's mastiff bat) is the source of this 344-nucleotide long non-coding RNA. RefSeq lists it as uncharacterized. The transcript is spliced from 3 exons. NCBI's taxonomy places the organism in Eukaryota, Metazoa, Chordata, Mammalia, Chiroptera, Molossidae. The record is from RefSeq and is a predicted model, not a curated record.